Molecule: ribosomal RNA, 497 nt
Filed under: uncultured bacterium
Lineage: Bacteria
Description: partial 16S ribosomal RNA
Rfam family: Bacterial small subunit ribosomal RNA
Source: RNAcentral
GAUGAACGCUGGCGGCGUGCCUAAUACAUGCAAGUCGAGCGAACGGACGAGAAGCUUGCUUCUCUGAUGUUAGCGGCGGACGGGUGAGUAACACGUGGAUAACCUACCUAUAAGACUGGGAUAACUUCGGGAAACAGGAGCUAAUACUGGAUAAUAUUUUGAACCGCAUGGAUCAAAAGUGAAAGACGGUCUUGCUGUUACUUAUAGAUGGAUCCGCGCUGCAUUAGCUAGUUGGUAAGGUAACGGCUUACCAAGGCAACGAUGCAUAGCAGACCUGAGAGGGUGAUCGGCCACACUGGAACUGAGACACGGUCCAGACUCCUACGGGAGGCAGCAGUAGGGAAUCUUCCGCAAUGGGCGAAAGCCUGACGGAGCAACGCCGCGUGAGUGAUGAAGGUCUUCGGAUCGUAAAACUCUGUUAUUAGGAAAGAACAUAUGUGUAAGUAACUGUGCACAUCUUGACGGUACCUAAUCAGAAAGCCACGGCUAACUACGUG